GCGACCGUGGUCUAGCCAACCUGCCAAAGGCGCGGGCUCUAGAGUGGUCUAGGACCCAGGCCCCCCAAGCCUGUGACCCGGGUGGCUACCGUAACCGAGGCCAGGGAAUUCAAAUCCCGGCGGUCGCACCA
Molecule: transfer RNA, 131 nt
Filed under: Candidatus Jordarchaeia archaeon
Lineage: Archaea; Promethearchaeati; Candidatus Jordarchaeia
Description: tRNA-Gly
Source: RNAcentral